UAACGCGUGAGGAACCUGCCUCAAAGAGGGGGACAACAGUUGGAAACGACUGCUAAUACCGCAUAAGCCCACAGCUCGGCAUCGAGCAGAGGGAAAAGGAGUGAUCCGCUUUGAGAUGGCCUCGCGUCCGAUUAGCUAGUUGGUGAGGUAAUGGCCCACCAAGGCGACGAUCAGUAGCCGACCUGAGAGGGUGACCGGCCACAUUGGGACUGAGACACGGCCCAA
RNAcentral lists this ribosomal RNA (225 nucleotides) under uncultured bacterium. RNAcentral's name for it is "partial 16S ribosomal RNA". It matches the Rfam family "Bacterial small subunit ribosomal RNA", at positions 111 to 334 of the family's 1533-position model. The record is from RNAcentral.